This is a long non-coding RNA of Episyrphus balteatus (marmalade hoverfly), 10495 nucleotides long. RefSeq lists it as uncharacterized. NCBI's taxonomy places the organism in Eukaryota, Metazoa, Arthropoda, Insecta, Diptera, Syrphidae. The record is from RefSeq and is a predicted model, not a curated record. The transcript has 4 exons.
CUCAAUACUUUUUGUGCCAGCAUAAUUUCAACAUAGGAAAACUUGGCUCUUUUUUUAACAGUAAUGUUUUUGUUGUGAUUUCACUACUUUUUGCAAGGUAUGGCUGUAGAAUUGAAAAUCUCUAUUUUUGAUGAAAAUUCAAUGAAAAUGGGCGGUUGCCACGCCCCCUGGUUGAAAUUCUCAAACUUUAAUUUUUUUUCUUUGUAUAAACUACCAGCUCUACCAAAUUUCAAGGUUCUACGAUAAUCAGAAGUGCUCUAAAAUAUUUAAUGAAAAUUCAGCGGAAAUGGGCGGUUGCCACGCCCCCUGGCUAAAAUUCUCAAAUUUUAAAUUUUUUCCUUUGUAUAAAUUACCAGCUCUACCAUUCUACCAAAUUUCAAGAUUCUACGAUAGUCAGAAGUGCACUAUAAUAAUUGAUGAAAAUUCGGCGAAAAUGGGCGGUUACCACGCCCCCUGAAUUGAAAAUCUCAAAUUUUUGAUUUUUUCCUUUGUAUACACCACAAGUCCUAUCACCAUGUAAAAUUUCAAGUUUCUACGAUAGCGGGAAGGUCUCCAUAAUUUUGAUGAUCUGUCAGUGAGUCAGUGAGUCAGUUACGGUUUUUGCGAUUUUUGAAGUCCUUUAUCUUAGAAACUACUCAUCGCAAGAAGCUGAAAUUUUGUGAGGAAUUUGGGUUCGGCGAGCUCAACAAAUGUAGCGAGUUUGAAAUUUCUGGCAUAUUUGGUGUGGAAGUUAGAGGGGGGUCGAAAAUGGCCUGAGUUGUUUCCUGUAAAUAAGGGUGUAGUGCCAAAGUUGCUAGAGAACUUGGCUGGGCACUACCGUGCCCCUUGAUAAUAUUUGCAUUUAAAGUAGGUAUAGCUCAAACUUCCUAAAUAAAAAAAAAUAUGUUGUGAGAAACUUUUCCUUAGCAAAUGGACUUAUUAUGAUUUGAAAAUAAAUGACUCAAUUUCAAAAGAAGAGUUUCAGUUGUUUAUAGGUAGUUUUAAUAUAAUUUCAAAGGAUUUUUUCGAGUUUUUCUACCGGUUGUUGUUUAUCUCAGUUUCAAAUUUGACAGAAUACAUCUUGAAAGUUUUCAUUUGUACAUAUUUUCGUCAGUACUUCGUAGUCGAAGUGGAGAACAGAGGGAAGAAUUCGGCUCGGAAAAGUACUUUUUUCCUUCCUAUGAGUUUCGAUUUAAAAAAGGAUUAGAUUUAAUAAUUUUUGGUAUGUGGUUGCAAUCAGAUUUGAUGAAAUAUUAUGGUGAAGCUCUUGAUAGCUUAUAAAAAUUGGAUUUAACCAAAGUUGUUCACGUGGUGUUUUUCCGGGCGAAACUCAUGAUAGGGCUGAUUGCUUCACCUUUGGAUUAUAUGAUUUAAAAAGAAGAAAAGAAACUAAUUAAACGUCGCAUAAUGUAUUUGGCUUAUGUCUUAUAGUAACACAAAGUGCUGCUUUUGCCGAAAUAAGUGCAAAAACUGAAAUUUGGAAUAUGGAUUUGCUUAUUUAUUUUUUCAUAAAGUACCUUAUACUUUAGCCAAGCAUUGAUAAAUUGGAUAUUUUGUGAACCUACUUGUUCUGCCUGAAAUAGUUUGAAAGUUAGAAAGUUUGAAAUAUUAUUAUUUCUUAAUAAUUUGAAUACUGUAAUAGAACUUUAAAAUUAACAAACAGAAGGAUAAGUUAUAAUUCUACAGAUUCUUGGAUUUCACCUAAAAGUAGGGACUGGUAAAAAAAACGUGUUUUUUCUCUUGCAUAUAUUGAGAUUUUCUUUUCUUUUUUUACAUGUCUUCAUUUAAAAAAUGCAUAGUAUAUAAUAUUUUAUUCAAAAUAAAAAGUUUAGAUUUUACUAUAAAAAAUAUAUUUCAGUACAUCAAAAUCUUCAAGUUUUCCAAAAAUUUAAUAUGUGAAAUUACGCUUGUUAUUAGGUAAUUCUUCCUAAGCUUAGGCAAAUUUUCCCGCCCAUUACCUAGAUCUGCGUAACUUUACGUUAGUCCAUUAGGUUAUUCUUCCUAAGCUAAGGUAGAUUUUCCCGCCCAUUACCUAGAUCUGUGUAACUUUACGUAAGCCCAUUAGGUCAUUCUUCCUAGGCUGAUGUACAUUUUUCCGCCCUAGAUCUAUGUUAUAUUUACGUUACCCCAUUAGGUAAAAAUUAUGAAAAGAAUCGUUUCUGUUCUGAACCGAUUUAUGCACAAAAUUUAUUUCAAUGAAUCGAGCUUAUGAAAACUCGGUUUAAUAUAAUUUCUACGAUGUUUAUUGUCAGAACUCAGAACAAACUGGUUGAGCCCACUAUUAUCAAGAGAAAAAUGUAGGGGAAAGGUGCGAACAUUGAGACACUUUCUUAAAUUGUUAUAUGUAUUUCAGAAAGUUUCCAAGCUAUCUUAACCAAACUUUAAAGUCAUUUUAAGACAUUAAUAUUGCAGAAAAAGUUAUAAUUAUAGAAUGAAUUAGAGCAUCACAUUAAACUAAAAUGUAGAAAAAGUCAAAACGUCUCACUGUUUGCAAGGGAUGCGAGCAGUAAGACGGACGAAUAAAACAGAAAGAAAUUGACAAAAACGUCAAAUAAGUAAGUAACUAGCAGUUUAAUAUAUUAAACUAUGUUACUUUAAACCCAUUUCUUGAAAAAAGUUACAGAAAAAGAAAUAAACGAAAGAAAAAAAAACAAGAUCAUACUGAAAUAAUUUUCAAUUCCUAGAUUUUUUAAAAUCUAUGUCUCACUGUUUGCUUUUUUGCAUUUUCUUACUGUUUGUUUUUUGUCAUUUCUCGGAAAAAAUAUUAAAUUACUAAAAACGACGAGGAAUUUUUAGUUAUAGUUAUUUUUGUAUGAAAGAAGAUAAUAUUUUCUUUAUAUUAUACAUGUAAUACAUAUGUAAAAAAAAGCUAUGUCUAUUAAACUGAUUUUUUUUGUGUUCUACACUCUCUUCAUAACACUCGAAAAAAUACUUCCAUCUGAUUUUGUGUGAUAUUUUCCAAUGUAGGAAAAUGAAAAUGUUGCCGGAUUGUCUCAGUAUUCGCACUCUCUCACUGUAAGCACCUUUCCCCUAUCUUGUUUGAAAAUUUAAAUUAAAUUAAUACCUUGACCAAGCUUUGAGAAAUUGGAUAUUUUGUCAGUUUUAUUUUUGGCUAUAUUAAGUUUGUUUUGACAUUUUUGAAGUAUUUGUUUUUAACUGAAGUUUAGAUACUAAUUUAGCUUGAGCAGCAAACUAGGCAAUGCAGUAGAAUAAAGUAAUAAAUUGGUGUUCUGCUACUAAACAAAUAUCAUUCUCUAAAAGACUUCGCUUUAUUAAAUGUAAACCCUCAAUUUAUUUAUGCCAAAUUCUUCUUUUUCUUUUUUUUUUCUUGUCAAAAUACUACUGUAGUAUCAUGUUCGACAGCACUGAGGCCAAUGGGAGCACCGUGUAUAAAUUUACUGAUUGCGCCGCCAUCUUAUUAAUUAAUAAUUUGUCAUUUCGUGUUCUACCGUCGUCAGUGACAGAUGUUCGCCUUGUAAAAAAAAGUGUAGUAACAAGUGAAAUUAUAAAAAAAAAUAUUGAAACCUAACUAAAACUCAAAAAUAAAGUAAAUAAAAGUGAAUACAUAUAUGUAAGGAAACCAAAUAAACAGUUGAAUAAAAAAAAAAAAAACAAUAAAUCAAAAAGAAAAAAACAGAAGAAUAAAAAACGAAGAAGCAAACCAUUUACCAGCGCAAAAAAGGAAGUUCUUUAAAUAUAUUUAAACCACCCCAUUCCUGUCGCAUCAAGUAGUUUAUCUUUAGCAUAUAUUUCAUAUUGAACCAAAAUUAUUUGAUUUUUUUUUUAUUUUGACUUGAAAAUUAUGUUUUCAAAAAUGUUUCGCUUGAUCAUGUUGGUGUAUUUAGCCGGUGUAAUUUUACGCAAGCUCUUGGGUAAAUCAGCCUUAUAUACAAGGUGAUUUUCUCUAGAUCUAUGUAACUUUGCGCUAGCACUUAGAUAAAAGUGCUUUAUUUUAUUUUCCCGCCCAUUGUUUCGAGUAGUUUGCGGCAGAUAUCUUGAUAAAUUUUCAUUUCAUGUUUCCUGGAAUUCCAUUAUUCUAAUGUGUUAAAUUACGCUAGCCAUUAGGUAAUUCUUCCCAAGCUAAGACAACUUUACGUUGUAAAAAUGCCUAAGCUAAGGCAACUUUACAUUAGCCCUUAGGUAAAAGUGCCUUAUUUAUGUGCUGAUUUGAAUUCUGAGGCGUAUAUAAUAUGUCAAGAAAUUUCAACAAUAUUUGAUGACCAUUUUUUUCUUAAGAAAUACUUUCAAGUCCAAGUCAGUUACACAUAAAAUCAAUCGAAGAAUUUGACGGACCUCCAGUUAACCUGAUCCUGUGUGGCAGUACUUUUAUUCAUAGAAAAUACUUUUUUUUAAACAAAAGUUCACAUCCUUCAGACGUAAUGAAUUCGCAAUCUGAGGAUGAUCUAAUCAUAUUUCAAGACCCUAAUCCAAGUGCAAGUGUAUCGAACGCAUCCCUUGAAAAUAUAAAAUCAGAGCAAAUGGUCCUGAGCAAUGGCACUGAGCUAGUAAUCAUCCAGCAAACAGUUUAUGUGAUUGAUGAAACAGGAUGUAUAAAUCAAGUUGAUAUGUAUCCACAAAACAUUCAGGAAGCAAAUGAUUUGUAAUAUCAGAAGAAAAUCUGAAUGAUGAGCUAGCUUGUCUGUUAAGAUCUUUUAAUUUAUAUGACGAACUUUAUAUUUUUUUAAAAGGUAAAACUAAUGCAAAAUCUUUUAUAUUCUUAUUUGAUACUUCUAAUGUUUAUAUGUUUAAAAUAUUAUCAGGCAAGCAAGCACAUAAAUACAAAAGGUCUAAAAUAUAUUCAGAAACAUCACAUAGAUAGGUUGUUUGAAGGAUUAGACAAAUUUAAUACUAGAAUUAUUUUUAGCACAAACUUGGCACCUGGCAAAGUGUUAACGAAAUUUUUAAUCUGACAUCGUAAUAUGAUAUAAAUAAUGGUUAAUGAUGUACAUAACAAAACUGAGCAAGGACAAGCUUUAAAAACGAACUACAAGAAAAACCUUUAUUUAAAACCUGAAGACAGAACCAAUGUUGAAAGGAAAAUUAUUCAAUACUACAGUACCGGAAACAACAGAAAUCUUUAAGUGAAGAUUCUGAACAAAAAGCAACCUACUUUGUUCCAGGAGUCAACAGAGCUCCCCCAAAGGCAAACUUUAUGACAGAUACAGAGGACAAACAAGGGCAAUGAAAAUAUUAAAUGUACAUAGAUGAUUGCUCUUCCACUUCCAAAUCCAAAAAAACUAAAGUUCAAGUUAUCGUGGAAGAUACAAACAAAGACCAGUUUUCGUCCACAAACACCAUAUCCAUAUAAAGAUCUAUGUAUACCUACAUCCAUUUGCAUGCCAGAUGCUCCCAGAUAGCCAUUUUAAUGUUUAAAAAUUCAACUUUUUGAAUUUUUUUUUAUGCCAUUCGUUUGUGAUUCGUUUGUGACUCGCUAGUUUUUUAGUUAUUAACAAAUAAAUAGUUUGUGACAACUUAGUUUUCGAGAAAAAUAAGAAAAACUAAUUAAAUUUCACCACACUUUCAUUUUGUUUAUCAAUAUGGGCGGAGCUAUGCAUAGGAUUCAUGAUGCUGAGGUGAGUUUUUAUACUUUGAGGUGAGCAACAUGUUGCAAAUGUAUACAAGUAUAGAAGAUUGAUUGUAAGCAAAAACUACUGUUGUUUCUACUUCAAUGAAGGGAAAUGGAGUUUGAAUUUUUUAUUUAUAAAUCAAAAUAAGUCAGCGACUACCAUUUUCAUCUAAACUCUUACGGCUUAACCUUAUCUAAUGUUUAACUUCAUUCUAUUGAAAAUUGUUAACAUAUUUCGAACUUACUAACAAAAUCGUUUGUGGUUUAACAAAUUGUUUGUGAUAGCCUAUUUUCCAAAAUCUUUCUGUGGCUGGUCUAAAUUUUUACUCAUUCCAUUUGAAAUUGUUUCAACUAAUAGAAUUUUCUAAAUAAAUCGUUUGUGACAACCUAGUUUGUUUGUGAUAGCCUAUUUUCCAAAAUAUUUCUGUGGCUGGUCUAAAUUUUUACUCAUUCCAUUUGAAAUUGUUUAAACUAUUAGAAUUUACCAAAGAAAUCGUCUGUGACAACCUAGUUUGUUUGUGAUAGCCUAUUUUCCAAAAUCUUUCUGUGGCUGGUCUAAAUUUUUACUCAUUCCAUUUGAAAUUGUUUAAACUAUUAGAAUUUACCAAAGAAAUCGUUUGUGACAACCUAGUUUGGUUGUGAUAGCCUAUUUUCCAAAAUCUUUCUGUGGCUGGUCUAAAUUUUUACUCAUUCCAUUUGAAAUUGUUUAAACGAUUAGAAUUUACCAAAGAAAUCGUUUGUGACAACCUAGUUUGUUUGUGAUAGCCUAUUUUCCAAAAUCUUUCUGUGGCUGGUCUAAAUUUUUACUCAUUCCAUUUGAAAUUGUUUAAACUAUUAGAAUUUACCAAAGAAAUCGUUUGUGGCAACCUAGUUUGUUUGUGAUAGCCUAUUUUCCAAAAUCUUUCUGUGGCUGGUCUAAAUUUUUACUCAUUCCAUUUGAAAUUGUUUAAACUAUUAGAAUUUACCAAAGAAAUCGUUUGUGACAACCUAGUUUGUUUGUGAUAGCCUAUUUUCCAAAAUCUUUCUGUGGCUGGUCUAAAUUUUUACUCAUUCCAUUUGAAAUUGUUUAAACUAUUAGAAUUUACCAAAGAAAUCGUUUGUGACAACCUAGUUUGUUUGUGAUAGCCUAUUUUCCAAAAUCUUUCUGUGGCUGGUCUAAAUUUUUACUCAUUCCAUUUGAAAUUGUUUAAACUAUUAGAAUUUACCAAAGAAAUCGUUUGUGACAACCUAGUUUGUUUGUGAUAGCCUAUUUUCCAAAAUCUUUCUGUGGCUGGUCUAAAUUUUUACUCAUUCCAUUUGAAAUUGUUUAAACUAUUAGAAUUUACCAAAGAAAUCGUUUGUGACAACCUAGUUUGUUUGUGAUAGCCUAUUUUCCAAAAUCUUUCUGUGGCUGGUCUAAAUUUUUACUCAUUCCAUUUGAAAUUGUUUAAACUAUUAGAAUUUACCAAAGAAAUCGUUUGUGACAACCUAGUUUGUUUGUGAUAGCCUAUUUUCCAAAAUCUUUCUGUGGCUGGUCUAAAUUUUUACUCAUUCCAUUUGAAAUUGUUUAAACUAUUAGAAUUUACCAAAGAAAUCGUUUGUGACAACCUAGUUUGGUUGUGAUAGCCUUUUCCAAAAUCUUUCUGUGGCUAGGUUGAUUUCUGGGUUGUAUUGUUUAUUAUACUACACUCGCGCGUGAGGGGUUAUAUAAUAUAAAUAUGUCCUUUUGUUUUUCAUUGUCUUUGUUUAUAUGUUGCGGAUUCGGUUUUUUUUUGUAGGUUACCACAGAGAAUUUUUGCCAUUUUAGGUAUAAUAGUUAUAUUUUCGCGGGGGAAUGGGUAAAGGGUUAUAUGAAAGUUAUUAUUGAAAACUUCCCUUAACUUUGAUUACAUACCUUAUUGAAAAAUUAAUUUUAAGGUUUAAAAAAAAAGUAACAUAAGUUAUAAAUGCUGACUUAUUUUUGUCUCCUAAUAAUGUAGGUAAAGGUUAAUAAAAACAAAAUCGAUUCAAUUACGAACUGAGUUCAUUGCAUUGGUUACUCUAAAAAAAAUCUUUAUUAAAAAGGUGUUGAAAGUAAAUUGGAUUGAUAUAACUUCAUAUUUGCAUAAAAAUAAUUUGGUAAUAAUCUUGGUUUGUUUGGUCUAUCCAAAUUCACACAGCUAUAUUUAUUCAAGGCUAAAUUUUAUACACAGUCAUAAUCAUAACUAUCAAAUUAUUCUCGGCUAAAUAUUAAGUGCAAUCAGCAUGAGGCCUUAGUUUCAAAAAAUCAGUUCAGGAGACACUUUUUGCGGCAUUCUCCAUGAUCAUAAUGUCAUACAAGAUUUAUCUCGAGUCCAUCCUCAAACAACAUUCACAUAGGAACCUAAACAUUCUAUAUAUUUGUAUGUCCAUACAUUUUCAUGUCAGCGCGAGUGCUAGACAAAAAAUUUCUCAGCGAAGAACAACUCAAAAGUAAGCAAGAACCUGAAAAUCAAUCCUUCUGCGCAUCUACCUACUCAUAUUUUUAUACACACAACACAAAGGAUACUGUCAAGUAUAUUAUAUCAAAGCACCCACAUAACACAUCCUCUAACUGCUACUCCGCUGAACAACUAUAAUUAUUAUUAUAAUGCAAAAAAUUUCUCUGAUAUCAAAAAAACUCAAAUGCCAUCCACAACAUCAACAUGGAAACAAGUUUCUUUUUCAUUUCAAAAAUAAAUAGGUAUACACUCCAAAAAUCUUUCAUGAAAAUAUUGAAUUUCAGACCAGUUUUCGUCCACAAACACCAUAUCCAUAUAAAGAUCUAUGUAUACCUACAUCCAUUUGCAUGCCAGAUGCUCCCAGAUAGCCAUUUUAAUGUUUAAAAAUUCAACUUUUUGAAUUUUUUUUUAUGCCAUUCGUUUGUGAUUCGUUUGUGACUCGCUAGUUUUUUAGUUAUUAACAAAUAAAUAGUUUGUGACAACUUAGUUUUCGAGAAAAAUAAGAAAAACUAAUUAAAUUUCACCACACUUUCAUUUUGUUUAUCAAUAUGGGCGGAGCUAUGCAUAGGAUUCAUGAUGCUGAGGUGAGUUUUUAUACUUUGAGGUGAGCAACAUGUUGCAAAUGUAUACAAGUAUAGAAGAUUGAUUGUAAGCAAAAACUACUGUUGUUUCUACUUCAAUGAAGGGAAAUGGAGUUUGAAUUUUUUAUUUAUAAAUCAAAAUAAGUCAGCGACUACCAUUUUCAUCUAAACUCUUAUGGCUUAACCUUAUCUAAUGUUUAACUUCAUUCUAUUGAAAAUUGUUAACAUAUUUCGAACUUACUAACAAAAUCGUUUGUGGUUUAACAAAUUGUUUGUGAUAGCCUAUUUUCCAAAAUCUUUCUGUGGCUGGUCUAAAUUUUUACUCAUUCCAUUUGAAAUUGUUUCAACUAAUAGAAUUUUCUAAAGAAAUCGUUUGUGACAACCUAGUUUGUUUGUGAUAGCCUAUUUUCCAAAAUCUUUCUGUGGCUGGUCUAAAUUUUUACUCAUUCCAUUUGAAAUUGUUUAAACUAUUAGAAUUUACCAAAGAAAUCGUUUGUGACAACCUAGUUUGUUUGUGAUAGCCUAUUUUCCAAAAUCUUUCUGUGGCUGGUCUAAAUUUUUACUCAUUCCAUUUGAAAUUGUUUAAACUAUUAGAAUUUACCAAAGAAAUCGUUUGUGACAACCUAGUUUGGUUGUGAUAGCCUAUUUUCCAAAAUCUUUCUGUGGCUGGUCUAAAUUUUUACUCAUUCCAUUUGAAAUUAUUUAAACGAUUAGAAUUUACCAAAGAAAUCGUUUGUGACAACCUAGUUUGUUUGUGAUAGCCUAUUUUCCAAAAUCUUUCUGUGGCUGGUCUAAAUUUUUACUCAUUCCAUUUGAAAUUGUUUAAACUAUUAGAAUUUACCAAAGAAAUCGUUUGUGGCAACCUAGUUUGUUUGUGAUAGCCUAUUUUCCAAAAUCUUUCUGUGGCUGGUCUAAAUUUUUACUCAUUCCAUUUGAAAUUGUUUAAACUAUUAGAAUUUACCAAAGAAAUCGUUUGUGACAACCUAGUUUGUUUGUGAUAGCCUAUUUUCCAAAAUCUUUCUGUGGCUGGUCUAAAUUUUUACUCAUUCCAUUUGAAAUUGUUUAAACUAUUAGAAUUUACCAAAGAAAUCGUUUGUGACAACCUAGUUUGGUUGUGAUAGCCUAUUUUCCAAAAUCUUUCUGUGGCUGGUCUAAAUUUUUACUCAUUCCAUUUGAAAUUGUUUAAACUAUUAGAAUUUACCAAAGAAAUCGUUUGUGACAACCUAGUUUGUUUAUGAUAGCCUAUUUUCCAAAAUCUUUCUGUGGCUGGUCUAAAUUUUUACUCAUUCCAUUUGAAAUUGUUUAAACUAUUAGAAUUUACCAAAGAAAUCGUUUGUGACAACCUAGUUUGUUUGUGAUAGCCUAUUUUCCAAAAUCUUUCUGUGGCUGGUCUAAAUUUUUACUCAUUCCAUUUGAAAUUGUUUAAACUAUUAGAAUUUACCAAAGAAAUCGUUUGUGACAACCUAGUUUGGUUGUGAUAGCCUAUUUUCCAAAAUCUUUCUGUGGCUGGUCUAAAUUUUUACUCAUUCCAUUUGAAAUUGUUUAAACUAUUAGAAUUUACCAAAGAAAUCGUUUGUGACAACCUAGUUUGUUUGUGAUAGCCUAUUUUCCAAAAUCUUUCUGUGGCUGGUCUAAAUUUUUACUCAUUCCAUUUGAAAUUGUUUAAACUAUUAGAAUUUACCAAAGAAAUCGUUUGUGACAACCUAGUUUGUUUGUGAUAGCCUAUUUUCCAAAAUCUUUCUGUGGCUGGUCUAAAUUUUUACUCAUUCCAUUUGAAAUUGUUUAAACUAUUAGAAUUUACCAAAGAAAUCGUUUGUGACAACCUAGUUUGUUUGUGAUAGCCUAUUUUCCAAAACUGCAUAGAUAAUGGCUGGUUCCAUUGAAAAUUGUUGAUUAAUUUUACAGUAAAAUUUCUAUGACAGAUUUGUAUA